This 236-nucleotide ribosomal RNA is filed under the name uncultured bacterium. RNAcentral describes it as "partial 16S ribosomal RNA". It matches the Rfam family "Bacterial small subunit ribosomal RNA", at positions 118 to 354 of the family's 1533-position model. The record is from RNAcentral.
UGAGCAAUCUGCCCUUCUCUUCGGAAUAAGCGUUGGAAACGACGUCUAAUGCCGAAUACGACCUCCUUUCGCAUGAUCGGAGGUGGAAAGCUCCGGCGGAGAAGGAUGAGCUCGCGGCUUAUCAGCUAGUUGGUAUGGGUAACGGCCCACCAAGGCGACGACGGGUAGCCGGCCUGAGAGGGUGACCGGCCACACUGGGACUGAGACACGGCCCAGACUCCUACGGGAGCAGCAGG